UGCUACUAAAAGGCCAAGACGGCAUAAUAAAAUCGCUGACAAAGGUGACGGAUGUUGAUUUUUAUCCGGAAGAGCUGUCGUGGCGGAACCAAAAUUGGAACGUUCUCAGCAGCCUACCCAAAAAAACUGCUUCGUUUUCGCUGUGGUGACGGAAUCCAAUUGGAUUUGGUGAAGUGGAAGGAGUAGUCAGAAAGAAUCAGUGUUUUUCUUUAAAAAGUGAUUUUGAAAUGUGAAUGUGUUGAAGUGCAGGCUUAUCAAUGACAAUAAAACUAAUGAGAACAA
This is a long non-coding RNA of Culex quinquefasciatus (southern house mosquito), 282 nucleotides long. RefSeq lists it as uncharacterized. Lineage: Eukaryota; Metazoa; Arthropoda; Insecta; Diptera; Culicidae. The record is from RefSeq and is a predicted model, not a curated record. The transcript has 2 exons.